This 72-nucleotide transfer RNA is filed under the name Camelus bactrianus (Bactrian camel). It matches the Rfam family "tRNA". From Rfam's summary of the family: Transfer RNA (tRNA) molecules are approximately 80 nucleotides in length. Their secondary structure includes four short double-helical elements and three loops (D, anti-codon, and T loops). The record is from Rfam by way of RNAcentral. RNAcentral also lists the same sequence under 2 other names. Lineage: Eukaryota; Metazoa; Chordata; Mammalia; Artiodactyla; Camelidae.
GAGGAUAUGGCUCAGUGGUAGAGCACAUGCUUAGCAUGCACAAAGUCCUGGGUUUAAUCCCCAGUACCUCCU